AAUUUUAUAGAAGAGGAUAUUCUCAGAAAAAAAAAAACUUCCCAAGGAUAAUGCUGCAAAUUGAGAUCAUCUCUAUAUUUGCAAUUGAAUACAUAUUAUGCUGAUUAAAAAAAAUAAUAAUAACACGGCGUAUUUUGUCCCUUGUACUUCAUUUCCAUAUGGCUCAAGUGAGCAGAGCAGAAACAGAUAUAAACAAGAAACAGAGAUGGACAAACCGUGGUAUCCGUUUGGACGGUUUUGAUGGGACCUCUCUGAUCAAGUUGAACCUUUUCCCCUUCUUUCCCAUGGUUUUGCAGCUAUCCACCUGUCUAGCCAUCUUAAUCUCUCUUCAAGAUCGUAAAUUGUGGGAAAAAUAACAGGAAAGAAGGAAAGAAUAGAGGAGCUCUAAAAGUACAGAGUAGAAGACAGAGGAGCUCAUGAUGGGUUUUGAUAGAUUUUGUUGUUCAUGCAUUCUCUGAUGAGAAAUUCUUUGUGGAAACUUUCCAUCGAGCCACAGGAAAAUGCACCAGAAGACGCUACUGGAACAUCUCUGAAGAAUAAUAACGUCAACUUUAUAUUGUUAGAAGACAGUCUUCGUAGUACAACAAAACGUUCCAAGAGUAUUCCACGAAAAAAAAAAAAGUUCCAAGAAUAAUGCUUCAAAUUAACAGCCUCUUUUAUAUUUGUAUUGUAUGCAUAUUAUGCUGCCCAAAAAACAAUGUUUAUUUUGUCCCUUGUACCUUGCUUUCCAUGGGGCUCAAAUGAGCAUAGCACAAACAGAAUAAACAGUGGAAUCCAUUUGGACGGUUCUGAUGGGGUCUC
Molecule: long non-coding RNA, 801 nt
Organism: Ziziphus jujuba (common jujube)
Lineage: Eukaryota; Viridiplantae; Streptophyta; Magnoliopsida; Rosales; Rhamnaceae
Exons: 2
Source: RefSeq, a predicted model, not a curated record